This 440-nucleotide ribosomal RNA is filed under the name uncultured bacterium. RNAcentral's name for it is "partial 16S ribosomal RNA". It matches the Rfam family "Bacterial small subunit ribosomal RNA", at positions 338 to 795 of the family's 1533-position model. The record is from RNAcentral.
CCUACGGGGGGCAGCAGUGGGGAAUAUUGGACAAUGGGGGAAACCCUGAUCCAGCGACGCCGCGUGAGUGAAGAAGUAUUUCGGUACGUAAAGCUCUAUCAGCAGGAAAGAAAAUGACGGUACCUGACUAAAAAGCCCCGGCUAACUACGUGCCAGCAGCCGCGGUAAUACGUAGGGGGCAAGGGUUAUCCGGAGUUACUGGGUGUAAAGGGAGCGUAGACGGCAGGGCAAGUCUGGAGUGAAAUGCCGGGGCCCAACCCCGGAAUUGCUCUGGCAACCGUGAAGCUGGAGUGCAGGGAAGGUAAGCGGAAUUCCUGGGGGAGCGGUGAAAUGCGUAGAUAUGAGGAGGAACACCGGCGGCGAAGGCGGCUUACUGGACUGUAACUGACGUUGAGGCUCGAAAGCGUGGGGAGCAAACAGGAUUAGAUACCCGAGUAGUC